GACGAACGCUGGCGGCGUGCCUAAUACAUGCAAGUGGGACGCAAGGGAACACACUGUGCUUGCACACCGUGUUUUCUUGAGUCGCGAACGGGUGAGUAACGCGUAGGUAACCUGCCUAUUAGCGGGGGAUAACUAUUGGAAACGAUAGCUAAUACCGCAUAAUAUUAAUUAUUGCAUGAUAAUUGAUUGAAAGAUGCAAGCGCAUCACUAGUAGAUGGACCUGCGUUGUAUUAGCUAGUUGGUAAGGUAAGAGCUUACCAAGGCGACGAUACAUAGCCGACCUGAGAGGGUGAUCGGCCACACUGGGACUGAGACACGGCCCAGACUCCUACGGGAGGCAGCAGUAGGGAAUCUUCGGCAAUGGACGAAAGUCUGACCGAGCAACGCCGCGUGAGUGAAGAAGGUUUUCGGAUCGUAAAGCAUCUGUUGUAAGUCAAGA
This 439-nucleotide ribosomal RNA is filed under the name Streptococcus mutans. RNAcentral's name for it is "bacterial SSU rRNA". It matches the Rfam family "Bacterial small subunit ribosomal RNA", at positions 28 to 448 of the family's 1533-position model. Lineage: Bacteria; Bacillati; Bacillota; Bacilli; Lactobacillales; Streptococcaceae. The record is from RNAcentral.